This 475-nucleotide long non-coding RNA is filed under the name Mytilus galloprovincialis (Mediterranean mussel). The record is from RNAcentral. Lineage: Eukaryota; Metazoa; Mollusca; Bivalvia; Mytilida; Mytilidae.
GUCCUGUACCAAGUCAGGAAAAUGGUUGUUGUUAUUGUAUAGUUCGUUUCUGUAUGUGUUGCAUUAUCAUUUGAUUUUUUUGUAGCACUUUAAGUUUUUCUGUUGUUUCGUUGUUUUCCUCGGCUCUUGUAUUUGAUGUUUCCCUUAAUUUUUGUUUCUUUCAAUCGAUUUAUGACUUUCGAACAGCGGUAUACUAUUGUUGCCAUUAUUUACCAAUUAAACUUAAUGUACUUACAUGAGCAGGAUCUGCUAACCCUUCCGAUGCACCCGAGAUCACCUUCGUUUAUGGUGCGUUUUGUGUUGCUCAGUCUUUCUAUGAUGUGUUUUGUAUACUGUAACAGUUUAACAGUUAAUUGUAUUUUGAUAAUUUUUAUGCUUUUUGCAAUGGCAUUGUCAGUUGUUUUUCUAACUAUUGAGUUUGAGUAUUUUUUGGGUAUUUGUCGACUCUCUUUGUCUGUAUGUGUGUGUCACUUAU